GAUGAACGCUGGCGGCGUGCUUAACACAUGCAAGUCGAACGGAAAGGCCUCAGCUUGCUGGGGUACUCGAGUGGCGAACGGGUGAGUAACACGAGGGUGAUCUGCCCUGCACUUUGGGAUAAGCUUGGGAAACUGGGUCUAAUACCGAAUAUGACCACUUCUUGGAUGUUGUGGUGGAAAGCUUUUGCGGUGUGGGAUGAGCCUGCGGACUAUCAGCUUGUUGGUGGGGUAAUGGCCUACCAAGGCGGCGACGGGUAUCCGGCCUGAGAGGGUGUACGGACACAUUGGGACUGAGAUACGGCCCAGACUCCUACGGGAGGCAGCAGUGGGGAAUAUUGCACAAUGGGCGCAAGCCUGAUGCAGCGACGCCGCGUGGGGGAUGAAGGCCUUCGGGUUGUAAACUCCUUUCGCUAUCGACGAAGCCACUUGUGGUGACGGUAGGUAGAUAAGAAGCACCGGCUAACUACGUGCCAGCCGCCGCCGUAA
This 486-nucleotide ribosomal RNA is filed under the name uncultured bacterium. RNAcentral describes it as "partial 16S ribosomal RNA". It matches the Rfam family "Bacterial small subunit ribosomal RNA", at positions 28 to 523 of the family's 1533-position model. The record is from RNAcentral.